RNAcentral lists this unclassified non-coding RNA (336 nucleotides) under soil metagenome. RNAcentral describes it as "partial contains 5.8S ribosomal RNA, internal transcribed spacer 2, and large subunit ribosomal RNA". The stretch from base 1 to 120 matches the Rfam family "5.8S ribosomal RNA", at positions 35 to 154 of the family's 154-position model. The record is from RNAcentral.
GAUGAAGAACCUAGCGAAAUGCGAUAAGUAAUGUGAAUUGCAGAAUUCAGUGAAUCAUCGAAUCUUUGAACGCACAUUGCGCCCGCCAGUAUUCUGGCGGGCAUGCCUGUUCGAGCGUCAUUUCAACCAUCAAGCCCCAGGCUUGUGUUGGGGACCUGCGGCUGCCGCAGGCCCUGAAAACCAGUGGCGGGCUCGCUGUCACACCGGGCGUAGUAGAUUUUAUCUCGCUCAGGGCGUGCUGCGGGUUCCGGCCGUUAAAAAGCCUUUUUUACCCAAGGUUGACCUCGGAUCAGGUAGGAAGACCCGCUGAACUUAAGCAUAUCAAUAAGCGGAGGA